AUGGCUGCAAAGAAGAAGACAAUGGGUGCAAAGAAGAAGGCCUCGAGCCGUUCUGAGGACUCUGAGGACUCUGAAGAAUUAAGGCAUGUUCCCCUGUAGGGCGUCCUCUUAUAGUUUCACCAACAAAUUCGACCCCAUCACCCUUGAACGUCCCAAAGUGCUAUUUCCAUUAGUAAAUGUGCCCAUGAUUUGCUACACCUUGGCUUGGCUCAAGUCUGCUGGCGUCAAGGAGGUCUUUGUUUUGUGCUGCUCUCACUCCAAGCAAGUGAUCAGUUAUCUGGAGAACCACCCUGAACGAUCUUGUGCUAGUGCUGGAGAUGCCCUGCGUUUGAUAUAUGAGCGCGAUGUGAUCCAUGGAGAUUUUGCCCUCAUAAGUGGGGAUACUGUAAUUGACAUGUCCCUUACUCAAGUGCUGCAGGACCAUAAAGAGAGAAGAAAGAAGGAUAAGAAUGCUGUUAUGACAAUUGUUGUCAAACCUUCUCAAAUCGUGACACACCAAUCUCGAUUACUCGGCAAUGAUGAGCUGUUUAUGGCAAUAGAUCCUAGCACAAAGCAGCUCUUUUGUUACAAGGAUAAGGCAGACCAUGCAAAGGAAUCUAUAUUUUGUCUUGAUAAGACAAUGCUUGCUGGUAAAUCUGCGAUUUCGCUGCAUUAUGACAGAGAGGAUUGCUACAUUGACGUCUGCUCUCCUGAAGUUAGCCUUCUCUCAGAUAAUUUCGAUUACCAAGAUCUUCGUCGUGAUUUAUUGGGUGGAUUGCUUGAAGAUGACGUUAUGGGAUACAAGAUAUUCACACAUGAAAUUGACUCGAGUAGUUAUGCUGCUAAGGUUGACAAUUUCCGAAGCUAUGAUACAAUUAGCAAGGACAUAAUUCAGAGAGGGACUUACCCAUCCUCGACACCAGCUGUUCAGGUUAAAGAAAUCGGACGUGGCACCAAGAUUGGGGACAGUACCGAAAUUCUAAGCUCUGUUAUUGGGAGAGGGUGUUCUAUUGGGUCAAAUGUUUCCAUAGAAGGUUGUUAUAUAUGGGACAAUGUAACCAUUGAAGAUGGAUGCAAGCUAAAACAUGUUGUAGUUUGUGAUGGAGUGGUCAUCAAGUCCGGGACAGUUUUGGAACCUGGAGUAGUUUUGUCUUUCCAGGUUGUUCUAGGAGAACAAUGCACUAUUCCUUCAUAUUUAAAGGUAUCAUUACUUCAGCAACCAACUGAGCAAGAUGGUUAUGAUGAGGAGCUGGAGUAUGUCGCCAAUAAUAGCAAUGCAGAAAUCUCAUCCCCUAUUGAUUGUGAUGUAAAUAAACCAAAUGAGCUCGGUACUAAUGGGGCUCUGGUUGUGUUUGCAAACUACAAGAUACACUUUCUAACAGUUUGUGAUGAAGAUUGGAGAAACUCAAUUGCUCCUAUUCCUGCAGAGAAACUUGCUGAGGCAAUACGUGCCGCUGAGGAGGAGGAUCAGGAGUACUUUGCACAAGAUGGCAGCAGUCUUGGAGAGCUGGAACUUGAAUCUAGUGAUUCUGAAGACAACUGUAAUGAAGACGAUUCUGACUUUGAGAAUGAGGUUGAAGCAACCUUCCUAACAGCUGUGCAUGAAAAUAAAACACUAGAUCAUGUGGUGUUGGAAGUAAACGCGCUGCGAUUGUCAUUCAACAAGCAAACUGCAGAUUGUGCUGGAGCUAUAUUUUACUCCGUGAUGAAAUUGGCAUUGGAAGCUCCACAUGAAUCGGCAAGCGAAUUGGUGCGAGCUGCUGCCAAGGUAAUUUCAGAAUGAAACACCUGCUCAAGUAUUACCUAUCAGAAAUAGAUGAGGAGAUAGAAGUGAUAAUGAAGUUUGAAGAAAUGUGUUUGGAGUCUACCAAGGAAUUUGCCUUUGUGUUCGAUAAGAUAUUGGAUCAACUCUAUGAUCAAGAAGUUAUCCAAGAAGAAGCCAUUCUCAGGUGGGUUGAAGAAAAGACAAAUGCAGAUGAAUCAGAUAAAGUUUUCGUCAGGCAGGCCGAAAAUUUUGUCCCAUGGUUGAGAGAGGCAGAAGAAGAGGAGUAG
Molecule: RNA transcript, 2031 nt
Organism: Fragaria vesca subsp. vesca
Lineage: Eukaryota; Viridiplantae; Streptophyta; Magnoliopsida; Rosales; Rosaceae
Gene name: translation initiation factor eIF-2B subunit epsilon-like
Exons: 3
Source: RefSeq, a predicted model, not a curated record